CUGGGAUGGGUUAUGGAGAAGGCAAUACAGAGCAGGGAGUUUUGGGGGGGCUUCUCCUUGCCUUGGGUCAGUGCCCAAGGGGCCCUUCAUCCCCCUCCAACGUUGUCCCCCUGGCUGGAAGGCAGCAAGCUGCUACAACUGGCCUCAAUGCAGGCUUUCCAGCACGCAGGAAACAGGAAGGAGCGUUAUUUCUCAACAUAGAACAAACAGAAGACAGAAUUAACUCUAUCUUAAAGCUGCAUUACCACCCUGCUAUUCGCUUCCUGACUUCAGCUCAAGUGCCUACAGGCCCUGUCCUGCUAAGCUCUGUACAAGGCCUGACAUUUGACACCCAAGACCCCAGGACUUACACAGAGGCACAAGCGGAGGCCCUGGGGAAGAGCUUUACCUCGGGCUGUACCCAGGUUAGCUUCUAGUGACUUAUGGCUCCAUCAAUCUGCACAGAUAUGUGCUGUGCUCCUUCAAGGGAAGUAGUUCAUCUUCUAUAUGACUGCAUCUCCACCUCUUCCAAAGUUCAAAGAACCCAGGACAAUUGCUUAUUUGGAUGGGCUUCCAGUAAGUAUAGGAGAUGUUCUCCCUGCCUUCCCCUGUGAAUCAGGACUUUCUGUUGAACUUUGAUACAGACAGAAACUUUCAGUCUUCCAUCCCCUAUUGAACUUGGAAGACAUGUGGUGAUGGUGAUGAAAUAUCAGGUGAGAUUGCUCAGUAUGUUUUAAGGAGCUUUGAACUGGAAAUGGAUCAAUUUAGAGUUCUUUUCUAAAGUCAAAGGAGCACAUUUUUUACGAUCCAUUUCCCAUGAACUAACAACUGUUCCCUAUCCAGCAGACAGUUUACUUGUAGCUAUUUUGACUUGCAUUAUUCCACUUAAUGAAGAUAAACAUAAGUCAGACACAGGAAAGCCACAGAAUGAGCAUGAACGGGAAGUGUUCCAAGUAUUCAGCAUUUACUAGACAAAAUUGGCCAGUAAUUCUUCUUGCUUUUCACUGAGGAUAAAAAUCCCUGAAAGAUAAUAAUCAUCAUUGUUUGAACUAAUAUAGCACUUUUAUCCAGUGAUCUGAGAACACUUCCCAAACAUUAACUGCACUGAGAACAGCCCUGUGAUUAGAUUCAUAUUAUUUAAAAUACCUGUUUUACAGACAGCCAAACUUGCAGGUCACUUGGAGGUACCAUGUCUUCCCAUGGGUCACAGAGUCAAAAGAUUACAGAGGAUUUCUGACUGCUAUUUCUAUUAUUUCUGUGACACUGCAAAGAAUACCUAAUACUGCUUACUUGAGUUCCUUAAAUUAUUCAUAUUAAAGGGACUUUUGGGAUGAAUAUAUUUUCUGCUUAUGUCUACCUUUUUUAAAAAUUGCUUCUUUUUUAGUGAUUAUUUGCAUGACUUACACUGGGA
This 1390-nucleotide long non-coding RNA is filed under the name Phasianus colchicus (ring-necked pheasant). RNAcentral's name for it is "lncRNA (ENSPCLG00000004943.1)". Lineage: Eukaryota; Metazoa; Chordata; Aves; Galliformes; Phasianidae. The record is from RNAcentral.